RNA transcript from Cucumis melo (muskmelon), 1955 nucleotides. It is a transcript of the gene named carotenoid 9,10(9',10')-cleavage dioxygenase-like, with no coding region annotated. NCBI's taxonomy places the organism in Eukaryota, Viridiplantae, Streptophyta, Magnoliopsida, Cucurbitales, Cucurbitaceae. The transcript has 3 exons. The record is from RefSeq and is a predicted model, not a curated record.
AAACGAUCGUGUAGCCAAAUCUAAACGAUCGUAUACCAAAUUUUGAAAAAAAAUCGUUUCCUAAAUCUAAAUAAUCGGGUAGCCAAAUCUAUACGAUGAUAUAGCCAAAUCUAAACGAUCGUAUACCAAAUUUUGAAAAAAAAAUCGUUUAGAUUUGGAACCCCAAAUCUAAAUGAUCGUGUAGCCAAAUCAAAACGAUCUUCUAACCAAAUCUAAACAGUCAUAUACCAAAUUUUGAAAAAAAAAAUUUGGGGGUAGCAAGAUCGUGUACCUAAUUAUUUAAUAAUUAUUUUAAUUUAUAUUUAAUUUUUUAAUUACGCAUCAUUAUUAAAACUGGUUCAUCUAAUUAUUUAUAAUUAUUUAGAAAUAUUCAUAUAAAUUUUAAUAUUGAAGAGCAAUAACAAAAUUUAAAUUUGUUUGACAAAACUAUUAAAAUGAAUACAAAGGGAGAUUAGACAACAAAAGAGGGAGAAUUGAUGGAAUUUCAUGAGGGAAGACGAAACACGGAUUGAUGACGACGAUUGAGGGGACCCUAUUAGAAAAAGACCCUUUCUUGACGGUUGGUUUUUGCUUUUCUUGACAGUUUUUGGUAAAAACGUCAAGAAAUGGGUGAUUUAAUAGGAAAACCGUCAAGAAUUUUGAUGAAAAGGCGGAGGGGAGCAAUUUUAAGAAUUCUUCACGGUUUUAAACCGUCAAGCAAUAUGAACGUUUUUCUUUACUGUUAUAAACUGUCAAGGAUUAUCUUCUAAGUUCUUGAUGUUUUUAAAACGUCAAGAUUUUUUAUAAAAUCGACAUUCUUAAUAUUUUUCAAACGUCAAAUAAUAUGUAAUUAUACUUGACGUUUUAAAAAUGUCAAGAAAUAUUGAUUAAAUUUUUGACGUUUUAUAAACGUCAAGAAAUAUCGAUUAAAUUCUUGACGUUUAUAAAGAAAUAUCGAUUAAAUUCUUGACGUUUUAAAACGUCAAGAAUUUUAAUGAAAAGGCAGAGAUUGAGUAAUUUUAAAAUUUCUUGACAUUUUUAAAACGUCAAGUAAGAGAAUUUUCCUUGACGUUUGAGAAACGUCAAGAAUUACUAAAUAAUUGAAAAAAAUAAAAAAAUAAUUUCUUUUUUUAAAAAAACCUAAUUUCUUUUAACUUUUUAAAUAAAAAACUAACUUCAUUUUUUCAAAAAAAACUUAAACCCCCAAUUUUCCCUCGCGCGCCCCUCACUCCCAUCUCUCUCGCAAAGACCCACACCCCCACACUGUCCCGAAAUGGCAAAAACCCCUCCAACGAAGAACCCCUCCGCCGAAGAACGCUGUCGACCCAUGACUCCUCUGCCAAAUAACGUCGAAGAACUUAAAGAACCAUGACCCCUCCGUCGAAGAACUCGAAUAACGCCGAAACUGGAACAGGAAAUGGUGAAAGAAAAUAAGUUAAUUUUCACAUUUGAUGCUACAAAAAAAGCUAGGUUUGGUGUGCUACCAAGAUAUGCAAAAGAUGACUUGCUUAUCCAAUGGUUUGAGCUUCCAAAUUGUUUUAUAUUUCAUAAUGCUAAUGCUUGGGAGGAAGGAGAUGAACUAGUUUUGAUUACUUGCCGUCUUGAGAAUCCCGACUUGGACAUGGUCAGUGGGUCUGUUAAAGAGAAGCUCGAGAACUUCUCAAAUGAGCUGUAGGACUCUAAUCCAUUUCUACAUAUGAAGAAAAGUUCUUGAUGUGGCUGUGACAUUUCUAAUUAUUUUUUCAUCUGUCAAGUAUGAGAUAAGAUUCAAUCUUAAAUCUAGUUUAGCUUAACAGAGGAAACUCUCAGAAUAUGCUGUAGAUUUUCCUAGAGUGAACGAAAGCUACACUAGCAGGUAUUUUGUUUCCAUUAUUUUUCUAGUAUUUUUAAAAGAAUAUUGGCUUGAGUCAUGGAUAUAAUAUGAUGAGAUCAUCAAAUUUUUGUGUAAUAAAUAUUUGAAAUAAAGAAUGUUUCUU